Molecule: long non-coding RNA, 2336 nt
Organism: Epinephelus moara (kelp grouper)
Lineage: Eukaryota; Metazoa; Chordata; Actinopteri; Perciformes; Serranidae
Exons: 3
Source: RefSeq, a predicted model, not a curated record
UAUAGCCUAUAGGCAGUUUUAGUCCAUAUUACAAAGUUUUUGGAGUCAGGCAGUAAGUCGGUAAAAAUAUACAGUCAGGAUGCCAGUCAAACGACGAGGACGUCGAGUGAUUUCAUCUUUUAAGUCAAACGACAGCGGCGCUACGCCGCAAAAUGGCGCCUUGACACAGGUGGAGUCGGGACUGGGUAACGUUACGGUGCUUCCGACACUGGAAGUGGGAGACCAUCACAAAUUACAUGUGGAAGCAAUGGUCCUGGCUGUUAUAGCUGAACAUUCCCUUCCACUCUCGCUCCGGUCCUUGUGGAAAUGAGUCAACAACUCAACUCAGCAGACGCGCAGCUACUUUGAUCAAGAGCGGAAGGAUGUCAUCGUUGAACACUUAGAUUCUCUUGAAGUAGUGAAAGUCAGUGCUGCCAGUUUGGAGAAGGCCAUGUGUGACUUCUUUGAGAGAAAACGGAUUCCCUGAACAAACCUAGUCAGCAUAAUGCUGGAUUCAUGCAACGUGAUGAGGGGCAGCAAAUCGAGACUUGAGACAAGAAUCAGACAGAACCAUUGUCCAACACUGGUGCACAAACUUCAUAACCAGCUUCAUCAAACCUGAGCACCUCAAGAUGUCACCCAAAGCACUGAUGAAGUUGGACUUGGCAGACCGGACUCUGUACUCUGUAGCAGAAACACAGGCAGCAGCAGCAGCCCACCCAAAACACCUGGAGCCUGCAGCCGGUACUAUGAGCGUGUGAAGCGGGAGUUAAAGCUUCAAGCUGAAAACAAGAUGGAGGAGGAUCGCAGGGCCGAAGCUCUGAACAACAGGAGACACUGGAUAAGUUGAAUCAUAUAUGGAAACUUAAUGAAAAUCUGCAGCUUUAUAAUGUAAUAAUCCCACAAACCUAUUAACAGUCGCUUACCACAAACGCAAUGCCUCAUGUCCCACAAACACCAUUUAUUCUUCACAUCUGCAUGAACAAAGCAUGCUGUAAUCUGUUACCUACUGCAGCUGCGCUCACUUUUGGGUAUCUCCCUCUUAUGGUGAACAUGAGGAACUGCACUCUACUGGUACUGCAAGUCCAAAGGGGUAACUGGAGCACAGUAAUUCUGUUUUAACAAAUAAAAUAAAAUGAAAUGAUGCAACUGACUUAAAUGAAAUGAUAAAAUGACCUAUAAUAAAAUUACUAAAUAGAUAAAUAAGACAGGGGUGGCCUUUAGUUUAAACUGGAAACUGGAAAGAUAUGGUGUUAGGGGAAUAGUGCCUGACUGGGUCAAAAGUUAUUUAAGUGGGAGACAGCAGUUUGUGAGAUUGGGUAACUGCUCCUCAUCAUGUUUGGGAAUUACUUGUGGUGUGCCCCAGGGGUCAGUAUUGGGCCCUAAAUUCUUCAUUGUGUACAUAAAUGAUAUAUGUAAAGUCUCUCAGUUAUUGCAUUUUGUUCUUUUUGCGGAUGAUACAAAUAUUUUUUGCUCUGGGGACAGCUUACAACAAUUACAAGAGGACAUCACUAAAGAAAUGAAGAAACUAAAAAUGUGGUUUGACAGAAACAGGUUGUCAUUAAAUUUGAACAAGACAAAAAUAAUGUUAUUUGGUAAUUGUAGAAUGAAUACACAGGUCAUUGAAAUUGGAAGUUAAUGAAAUUAAAUUUCUGGGAGUAAUUAUAGAUGACAGAAUUAGCUGGAAAUCACAUAUCAAACAUGUACAGACUAAAGUUGCAAGAAGUAUUGCAAUAAUAAACAAAGCAAAGAUGGUUUUAGAUCAGAAAUCACUCCACACCGUAUACUGUUCUUUAGUCUCACCUCACACCUCACUUACAGUACUGUGCUGAGGUUUGGGCCAACAGCUACAAAACCACGCUAUCUCCUCUUAACUAUUCUUCAAAAAAGAGCUAUACGAAUUAUUCACAAAGUUGGUUACCAGGAACACAACUCUUAAAAAUUGUUUUCUGUUUCAGCUUCUUAAUGCACAUAGGGCUGAGGCAGAGAAACUGUUGACUGAGGAGGAGUACAGGUACUUGAAGGAUGUCCCUGAAUGCCUCAUGAGUGAUGAAGAGACUGAUGAGGAGGAUAAACAGACAUGGAGAGUCAGCCAACCUGAGAGGAGAGCCACCAGGCUGACUGAAAUUUUGCAGGGGUGUCGAGAGAAGUUGGUUGGGUAGCAGAAUAGCUCCAACAGGAUGGUCCAUUUGAAGGAGGACUCGGGAUGGCAACUGAGAAACUCUUAAAAAUAAAAAAGUUGAUGCUGAAAAUCUGUGUAGGCCUACUUUUUUCCUAAGAAUUUGUGACUUUAGAAAGAAAAAGUGUUUUGUUAUACAAUAUUCUUUGAGCAAGUGAAGACAGUGUGUAGGUGUCUG